This 325-nucleotide unclassified non-coding RNA is filed under the name uncultured fungus. RNAcentral describes it as "partial contains small subunit ribosomal RNA, internal transcribed spacer 1, and 5.8S ribosomal RNA". The stretch from base 1 to 130 matches the Rfam family "Eukaryotic small subunit ribosomal RNA", at positions 1759 to 1831 of the family's 1831-position model. Lineage: Eukaryota; Fungi. The record is from RNAcentral.
GCAAACUUGGUCAUUUAGAGGAAGUAAAAGUCGUAACAAGGUUUCCGUAGGUGAGUAAAUCGAUGCAACCCACGCUCCGAAUCAACUUUAUACUAACAGAGGCUUAGGUGAACCUGCGGAAGGAUCAUUACCGAGUGUUGGCGGAUUCUCGUCCGCCGCCUCCCGUCCUUUGCCUUUUGAAAAUCAUUGCUUCGGCGGGGAGACCCGCCGGCGCACCCCUUCAACCCUCUGUUAAAAACCGGUGUCCGAGGGCCUUCGGGCUUGAGAAUGAAUGAAAACUUUCAACAACGGAUCUCUUGGUUCCGGCAUCGAUGAAGAACGCAGC